ACUCGCGGCUCCCUGCACCUCAGUAUGUCCCAGAACAGUUUAGCCAGUGACUUUACAAUGAAGGAAACUGAGGCCAAAUGGGGAAGGGACUUGCCCGGAGUCACACGGAGUGGAAGGGCUGGGAUUUGAACCUGACCUGGCAGGUGUCGGUGCUCCCGAGCCUCCGUUUGCUCGUUCUGAGUUGCGUGUGUUGCUUGGAGGCCUGUGGGAAAUCUUGCACGUUUGAGUGAGGGGUUUGUUGAUCCUUCGUUCCGGCAGCAGAGGGAGGCCUGGCUCCUUGCACUGUGAGCAUCUCAGGGUCCUCGGAGCUGAUGACAGGCUGCCGCACCAGGCCUGCUCGGACGCCUUUCUCCGGUCCCUGCCUCCUCUGAUCGUCCACAGCCUGGUACAUCCUCUUCUUUCUUCUACGUUGCCUUCAGUCUGGUGAACUCACUUUGAGCAGUGGAAUCUGGAAUCUCUGGGUUGACAUUCCAGGAGCCCUUGUAGGAGGAUGGCACCGCUUUCCCAAUAAUCACAGAAAACACCCCGAGGCUGAUUCUCAUUGGCCUGCUGUGCAAAGGAGGCAGACUCAGCCCCUCAUGAUGGCCCAGGCUGAAACUGGGGGAGGGUAGGAUACCCCAGAGUACAAGCAGGAUUCUGUGAUCAGAAGAGAUAGUGGAUAGGGAAGAAAGGUGGGGGAACUCCCUCACACUUGGGUGGGUUGCUGUGUCCUAAAAAUAUUAUUAUAAUAAGCAAGAGUCACAAACACUCAGGGAGUGCAGCCCGGGUGCCUGCCUCCUGGGCUUGAAUUAACUCUUUCCAUCACUCCUCAGAGCCACAGAGGGAGGCAUUGUCCCAUUUUACAGAUGAGGAAACUGAGGCAUGCAAAGGUGAAAUGACUUGUAACCUGAAGGAGGGUCGCUCGAUGCCUGUUUGUGGGAUGAAAGCGUGAACACGUGCCGUGUACCCUGCCAGCCUGCCAGCCCCAUGUUGCUGCUCACCUCUCCACCUCCCGCUGACCACCUGCAGACACCACCCCACCCUCCGGACCCCGUCGUCCCCACUGCGGUCCUGCCAUGCUGGGCACAUGCAGCUUCCUGCAGACCUGGGGUUGUUUGGAGGGACAGAACUUUGCCCAGACCUCCGGGAUUCCCUGUAGGAUUCUUAUCUUACCCUUGGGGGAAAAUGAAGUCUUUUUUUGUUUGUUUCUGUUGACGCAGGAGUCACAUAAUAUACAAUUAACCAUUUUAAACUGUA
Molecule: long non-coding RNA, 1236 nt
Organism: Galeopterus variegatus (Sunda flying lemur)
Lineage: Eukaryota; Metazoa; Chordata; Mammalia; Dermoptera; Cynocephalidae
Exons: 2
Source: RefSeq, a predicted model, not a curated record